AACCUGGUUGAUCCUGCCAGUAGUCAUAUGCUUGUCUCAAAGACUAAGCCAUGCAUGUCUAAGUAUAAGUAUUAUACAGCGAAACUGCGAAUGGCUCAUUAAAACAGUUAUAGUUUAUUUGAUAAUCGAAUUUACAUGGAUAACCGUGGUAAUUCUAGAGCUAAUACAUGCUGGUGUGCCCGACUUUUGCGGAAGGGCGGUAUUUAUUAGAUAACAAGCCAAUAUUCCUCUGGUCUAUUGUGGUGACUCAUAAUAACUGAUCGAAUCGCAAGGCCUUUGGCCGCGAUAAGUCAUUCAAGUUUCUGCCCCAUCAGCUUUCGAUGGUAGUGUAUUGGACUACCAUGGCGUUUACGGGUAACGGAGGAUUAGGGUUCGAUUCCGGAGAGGGAGCCUGAGAAACGGCUACCACAUCUAAGGAAGGCAGCAGGCGCGUAAAUUACCCAAUCCUGACUCAGGGAGGUAGUGACAAGAAAUAACGGACCGAAGCCUUCGGGCUUCGGGAUUGGAAUGAGC
RNAcentral lists this ribosomal RNA (513 nucleotides) under uncultured marine eukaryote. RNAcentral's name for it is "SSU rRNA". It matches the Rfam family "Eukaryotic small subunit ribosomal RNA", at positions 1 to 519 of the family's 1831-position model. The record is from RNAcentral.